RNAcentral lists this ribosomal RNA (1858 nucleotides) under Haloferax sp. Q22. RNAcentral's name for it is "bacterial LSU rRNA". It matches the Rfam family "Archaeal large subunit ribosomal RNA", at positions 1048 to 2949 of the family's 2987-position model. Lineage: Archaea; Methanobacteriati; Methanobacteriota; Halobacteria; Halobacteriales; Haloferacaceae. The record is from RNAcentral.
ACGUCGUAGACUCAGGGAGUCCGGUGUGCGGGGUAAGCUUGUGCACCGUGAGGGAGACAACCCAGAGCCAGGUUAAGGACCCAAAGUGUGGAUUAAGUGUGAUUGAAGAUUGUCUCGAGCCCUAAACAGCCGGGAGGUGAGCUUAGAAGCAGCUACCCUCUAAGAAUAGCGUAACAGCUUACCGGCCGAGGUUCGAGGCGUCGAAAAUGAUCGGGACUCAAAUCCACCUCCGAGACCUGGCGGCGUGUCGUAUGACACGAUUCCGUAGGUUGGCAUACUGCAUGGGUGGAAGCACGGGUGAGAACUCGUGUGGACCGUGCAGCAACGAAAAUCAUGGUCUCAGUAGCAGCGAGAGUCGGGUGUGAACCCCGACGGCCUUACGCGCAAGGGUUCCUCGGCACUGUCAAUCAGCCGAGGGUUAGUCGAUCCUAAGUCUAUCCGUAAUUCGAAAUAGAUGAAAGGGAAACUGGUUAAUAUUCCAGUACCUUCUUGCACUAAACGUCGACGCUUUAGGAAACACCGAGCGGGGCCUUCGCCCCGUCGAAUCACCGAAAUUCGUGGAAGCCGUAACGGCACGAAGCGAACGAAUGAUGAGAUAGAGAAAUUCGGCCGUACCUAGAGCCCGUGAAAAGACAAGCAAGAAGCUCGUACCGAGAUCCGACACAGGUGCGCUGGCAGAGCAAGCCAAGGCCUGUCGGGAUCAACCGACGUUAGGGAAUUCGGCAAGUUAGUCCCGUAAGUUCGCGAUAAGGGAUGCCUGCUCUUGACCGAGCAGGUCGCAGUGACUCGGACGCUCCGACUGUCUAGUAACAACAUAGGUGACCGCAAAUCCGCAAGGACUCGUACGGUCACUGAAUCCUGCCCAGUGCGGGUAUCUGAACACCUAGUACAAUAGGACGAAGGACCCGUCAACGGCGGGGGUAACUAUGACCCUCUUAAGGUAGCGUAGUACCUUGCCGCUUCAGUAGCGGCUUGCAUGAAUGGAUCAACGAGAGCGUCACUGUCCCAACGUUGGGCCCGGUGAACAGUACGUUCCAGUGCGGAGUCUGGAGACCCCCAAGGGGAAGCGAAGACCCUAUAGAGCUUUACUGCAGGCUGUCGCUGAGACGUGGUCGCUAAUGUGCAGCAUAGGUAGGAGCCAUUACACAGGUACCCGCGCCAGCGGGCCACCGAGGCAACAUUGAAAUACUACCCGUUAGUGACUGCGACUCUCACUCCUGGCGGAGGACACCGGUAGCCGGGCAGUUUGACUGGGGCGGUACGCGCUCGAAAAGAUAUCGAGCGCGCCCAAAGAUUUCCUCACGCGAGUCGGGAACUCGUGGAAGAGCGCAAGAGCAAACGGAAGUCUGACAGUGACAUUCCCAACGAGUGUCGCUGACGCGAAAGCGUGGUCUAGCGAACCUACGAGGUUCAUUCAUGGGACCCGUAGAUGACAGAAAAGCUACCUUAGGGAUAACAGAGUCGUCACCCGCAAGAGCACAUAUCGACCGGGUGGCUUGCUACCUCGAUGUCGGUUCCCUCCAUCCUGCCUGUGCAGAAGCAGGCAAGGGUGAGGUUGUUCGCCUAUUAAAGGAGGUCGUGAGCUGGGUUUAGACCGUCGUGAGACAGGUCGGCUGCUAUCUAUUGGGGGUGUUAAGGAACUUGACGUGAACGUUCGUAUAGUACGAGAGGAACUACGAAUGGGUGCCACUGGUGUACCGGUUGUCCGAGAGGGCAGAUGCCGGGCAGCUACGCACCACGGGGUAAGAGCUGAACGCAUCUAAGCUCGAAACCCACACGGAAAAGAAGUUCCACUGAGGACACUCGUAGAAGACGAGUUCGAUAGACUCGGGGUGUACGCAACGAGGCAACGAGUUGU